UACGGGGGGGGGCAAGCGUUGUUCGGAAUUACUGGGCGUAAAGGGCUUGUAGGCGGCCAACUAAGUCCGACGUGAAAUCCCCCAGGCUCAACCUGGGAACUGCGUCGGAUACUGGAUGGCUUGAAUUCGGGAGAGGGAUGCAGAAUUCCAGGUGUAGCGGUGAAAUGCGUAGAUAUCUGGAGGAAUACCGGUGGCGAAGGCGGCAUCCUGGACCGAGAUUGACGCUGAAAAGCGAAAGCCAGGGGAGCAAACGGG
RNAcentral lists this ribosomal RNA (255 nucleotides) under uncultured bacterium. RNAcentral describes it as "partial 16S ribosomal RNA". It matches the Rfam family "Bacterial small subunit ribosomal RNA", at positions 524 to 776 of the family's 1533-position model. The record is from RNAcentral.